CUGGGGUCCUACUUUAGUCCGGAAAAACUUUGCCUGAAAAAAAGGGAGGAAUUUGCACGUGGGAAACUGCGAUGCGGAAUCGGGGAGGAAAUCACUCUUUUGGAGGGGAUCCCAGACUGAAACAGCGAGUUAAACAGUAUCUAAGCAGUAAUAAAUGUGGCCAGUAUGUUAACACUGAAAUUCUAGCAGCAGAACUACAGAAAAUAUAUAGUGCUGAUUAUGGACGAAGAAAAAGAAAUGCCUUUAGAAUACAGGUUGAGAAAGUUAUUGGGAUAAUCAAAGAUGAGGUAAAAUCUACAGAUUUAGCCAUUCUAGAAGAUGAAUAUUUAACAAAGAAAGCAAAAAGGGAUGAAAAUGAUUCAGAGACCAGCAUGGAUACUUCUGAUACCGAUACUGAACAUCCUCAUUCAAAUCACAUGAAUACCUCUUUGUUAACCUUAUAUCGGGAAAGAAAUCCGGAUUCUUUGCCUUCAUCUCCUAAAAAUGAUUUAAUGAUGUCUAUCACUCCUUCACAAUCAAUGUCUAGAUCAGAUAUUAUUGCCUCUCCUCAAGCUCCAUCAGUGACUAAAAUUUCAGAAGGUGGAUGGUUUAUUGAUAAGACCCCAGGCCCAAAGGAGGAAAACUUUUUAAUUGAUCUUUGUGCAGAAGAAGAAUGUGAUAACAUUAAGCAGAAAGCUGAGAAUGCAGGAAACAUUUCUAUUUUGGAGACCGUGAGAAAGAAGUCCAAGAAUAAAAAAUAUAAACGGAGAAAAGUUGAAUUUCCUAACGUAGAUGAAGAAAUAGAGUCAGUUUUGAAGCAACAGAAAGUUAAAUCAAGAGAAAUAGAGCUGCAAACUUCCUCAGUGACAUUUGAGGAUAUAGGAGGCAAUGAUGAGAUUUUGAAGGAGAUAUGUAAGAUGUUGAUACAUAUCCGCCAUCCUGAAGUGUACACUCAUUUAGGAGUUGUUCCUCCUCGAGGAUUUCUUUUGCACGGACCACCAGGGUGUGGGAAGACGUUACUAGCGCAAGCAAUUGCUGGGGAACUUGAACUACCAAUACUCAAAGUGGCUGCAACUGAGAUUGUUUCUGGAGUGUCUGGUGAUUCUGAACAGAAAUUAAGGGAGCUCUUUGAUCAAGCUGUUACCAAUGCACCAUGCAUCCUCUUCAUAGAUGAAAUUGAUGCUAUCACACCAAAAAGAGAAAUAGCUUCAAAGGACAUGGAGCGGAGAAUUGUAGCCCAGCUUCUGACUUGCAUGGAUGACUUGAAUACAUUGACCACAGCAGCUCAGGUCCUUGUAAUUGGAGCAACCAACAGGCCAGAUUCACUGGAUCCAGCCCUGAGACGUGCGGGAAGAUUUGACCGAGAAAUUUGUUUGGGGAUUCCAGAUGAAACAGCAAGAGAAAAAAUUCUGAAGACAUUGUGUCGAAAGCUUCGACUUCAAGAAUCCUUUGAUUUUGGACAUUUGGCUCAUAUGACACCAGGCUACGUUGGGGCUGACCUUAUGGCCCUUUGCCGUGAGGCGGCAAUGUGCACAGUUAACAGAGUCCUUGUUAAACUGAAUGGGAAGAAAUGUGAAGUUACGAAAAAUGAAGAAGUAGCAUCUGGACAAGACAUGCAAAGGAGAACAGAACAAAAUGUGAAAAAAGAUACCGAAGAACAAGAUCUUCCUACUAAAAAUGAAUUGCAAAGAUUGCUCCAGUUGCUGAAGGAACCAGAUCCCCUGGGGGAGGCUCAGCUGCAGAAGCUGUGCAUUGAGCUGAAGGAUUUCACUCUUGCUCUCUCUUCAGUGCAACCCUCUGCAAAGAGAGAAGGCUUUGUCACCGUUCCUGAUGUGACCUGGGCAGAUAUUGGAGCCCUGGAAGAGGUUCGGGAGGAGCUGACCAUGGCUAUAUUGGCACCUGUGAGGAAUCCUGAACAAUUCCGAGCCCUUGGACUUCUAGCUCCAGCUGGGGUGCUGCUUGCUGGUCCUCCUGGAUGUGGCAAAACAUUGCUUGCAAAGGCUGUAGCAAAUGAAUCUGGAUUGAACUUUAUUUCAGUGAAAGGCCCUGAACUAUUGAAUAUGUACGUGGGGGAAAGUGAACGUGCUGUCCGUCAGGUUUUCCAGCGUGCAAGAAAUUCAGCACCUUGUGUCAUAUUCUUUGAUGAAGUGGAUGCUUUAUGCCCUCGGAGAUCCGACCGUGAAUCAGGCGCCAGUGUCCGUGUAGUGAACCAAUUGCUUACUGAGAUGGAUGGACUGGAAUCACGUCGUCAAGUUUUCAUUAUGGCAGCCACAAAUAGACCAGAUAUUAUAGACCCAGCUAUUUUGCGUCCAGGAAGAUUGGAUAAAACACUUUAUGUUGGCUUGCCACCACCUUCAGAUCGCCUUGCGAUUUUAAAGACUAUUACUAAAAUUUUCAUUAUGCAACUUCCAACACAUAUGGAGAAAGGCCAACAGACUCUUCAUAAAUUACGGCAUUGCCUAUUGAAUGAUGGAACUCUACCCCCACUUGAUAUUGAUGUGCACCUGGAAGAAAUUGCUUACAAUCCCUCUUGUGAUUAUUUUACGGGAGCAGAUCUUUCAGCUCUAGUGCGAGAAGCUUCUGUUUGUGCCCUAAAACAGCAAAUGACAGUGUUCAGUCCUGCAAACAAGAACAGUAAGGAAGGAGAAAUAGCAUAUUAUAACUUAAGGCAGAUUUUCUUAAUCACCAGAUGUGAACCUUUGGAUGUUUUCAUUAUUUUAUUUGAGAGUUCCAACAAAAACUGCAGGAUUGUUAUACGAUUGUUCUAAACUAAAGACACACUAAAAACAGUGAAAGGAAGUUGUUAGUUAAAGGUUUGGUAGGCAUGAAAAUUUUAGUAUUUCUUUGUCUACACUGGGCUGUCUAGCACUAUGAUUUUUUUUAAAAAAAAAUCUGUAAAUAUGAAGGAAAAAGGGGACAAAAUAUCCAAAAUACUGAAAUGUAUAUUGGUUGAUCCUGACAGCACUGAUCCUCUGUAAAAAGUGGUAAAAUGAAGGAUGCCGUUGCAAGACUAAGAAGCUAGUGUUCGAGGCAGUCUAGAAAAGAGUUGAGCAUGAAACAUUGGACAGCCUUCGCCGGUCAAAAUAGUAGACAGUUAGGAACUUAAUUGAACUAAGGAUAUGAUUUAGAAUAAAAUACACUGAUAGGUAGAACCCCCUUUGGUGCAAGAAAAAAAUGCAGAAAUGUAGCUGAAAUUUCAUUUGGCAUGUAAGAGUUGCUCUUGCUAAAUAGAAACUUGAACAAGCAGUAUAAUUCAAGCAAACUUUUCCAUUUCUGUCUCUUUUCCACCAAUCAUUAAUAAACAACUCUGUGGUAAUGUUUACUUGAAGACUUUGUGAAAUAAGCCUGUGAUGUAUGACCACCAGUAUAAUGUCCUGUUUUGUUUGCGGACACUGUAGAGCAACAAAGAACCAAGAGGUUAUAGAAACUAAAUUACUCUCACCUAAAUAUUUUCAAGCAGUUUCCUCUCAAUAUGAUCUAUAUAUAAGUAAUUUGGAUUCAUUUCUAAACAAUAUGACAUCUGUUUUCAGAUUUAAGAUUAAAGACAAGUCAUGAAAUGAAGAGGAUUUUUUUAUUAAUGCCAACAGAUCAAAGAUUUAUUUCCACAAUUAAUAUUCUAUAGUAAUGGAAUCUCUUUAAAGGUUAGGUUACCUUUUAGCUGAUGGUGAUAUUAAAAUCCUGUGGUGAGUUAUUUAUGAAUUACAUCCUUAUUUUUAAUGGGGGCUCUCUGAGGAAGGAGAAAGAGCACAUGUUAACUUCACUAUGUUUCAGUGCUGUCUUAAUAUAUAAAUUAGGGCAAAGUCUCGGUCACUUUUGAGUAGAUACCUAUCUCAUUGAAUAACCUGUGGAAAAUAGUCGUUCCUGAACAUAGAUGCUGUUUCUUUCCAGUUCCUAUAGUUCAUGACGUAAUAUAACUCAGCUCUUGGCAGGGUGCUUGAAAUAAUUGUGGAAUUCAAGCUUCUCACUUCUUUAAGCAGAAGCACGGUAUAAUAAUGGUUACUGAAUUAGUUGUGUGUGAAAUUCUCAAACAUCUUGAUUUUUGCCUUCUCUUGAUAAAUCUGAUAAACAGAAUUGACUAAGGGAUGUUUUCCCAUUGAAUUAGACCUGAGGACGCACUCUGUUUUUUCAAUAACUUCAUAACUCUAGCAAAUCAGCAUGGAAAUGCAUGGAAAAUAAGUAGAGAGAAUAAGUAGUUCUGUGGCAAAUCAUCUAAUUAAUAAAGAACUUCUUGUUUCUCUUUCCAUCUUUAAUAAUUUGUUGAUCAAUCUGCAUUUUAUUUUAUCAGAGUUAUCCUUUUCUGCAAUUAUAGUGUUUAUUCUACUAUAGUCUUCACAGGGGAAAUUAGAGUUGGCAAAAAACAUUUUGAAGAAGCUUUUAAGAAAGUGAAAUCCUCUAUAACUUCAAAGGACCAAAUAAUGUAUGAAGAGCUGCGCC
Molecule: RNA transcript, 4413 nt
Organism: Crotalus tigris (Tiger rattlesnake)
Lineage: Eukaryota; Metazoa; Chordata; Lepidosauria; Squamata; Viperidae
Gene: NVL
Gene name: nuclear VCP like
Exons: 23
Source: RefSeq, a predicted model, not a curated record